AAAAGCAAUCAGUGUAAUGCGACAUAGUUAACCUCCCAGAGGCCUAUCAGUCUACUCAGCUGUGGCAGCUAGUAGGAAAUUUAAGUAGUUUCAAUAAAUCAUUCAAAGGCAGAAACUGCUAGCCAAAAGAGAAUUUCAGGAAAAAAAAUAUCAGGUGAUAAACAUUCUAGCACUUUGCAUAUCAAUCUAUGAUCUUUUAAACUUUACCCUAAUUUCUGCCCCUCUUUAGUGUCUUCCAUACAGUCGCGUUUUUCUAAAAGAACAAGCCUGAAUUGGAUUUUCCUAAAUUUGAGUUUUUAAUCCUGAAGGGCUUUCGUAAUGUUUUCUUGGCUUGAUAUCAAACUUCUGAU
Molecule: long non-coding RNA, 350 nt
Filed under: Bos taurus (domestic cattle)
Lineage: Eukaryota; Metazoa; Chordata; Mammalia; Artiodactyla; Bovidae
Description: long non-coding RNA NONBTAT006280
Source: RNAcentral